This 389-nucleotide long non-coding RNA is filed under the name Cyanoderma ruficeps (rufous-capped babbler). RNAcentral's name for it is "lncRNA (ENSCRFG00000013423.1)". The record is from RNAcentral. Lineage: Eukaryota; Metazoa; Chordata; Aves; Passeriformes; Timaliidae.
GGACACGGCCGCAGGAAACCGGGCUCAGGGGACACGGCCACGGGACACGGCCGCAGGAAGCGGGGCUCAGGGGACACGGCUGAGGGGACACGGCCGCAGGACACGGCCGCAGGAAGCCGGGCUGCGGUGACUCGGCCGCACGUGACGCGCCCACGUCCGCCUCCGCCGGGAAGGAGCCCGCGGCCCUGCGCAGCUGAUGAGGACCAGCCCCUCUUGGUUGUUGCAGCUCUACCGGCUCCCAGCCUGCAGGUUUGUUUUAAUGUGGAAGUGGAUCUUACAGCAUAAUGUAAAUCAAACAAGCAAAGGAAAAAAGGAUGUCCAAAGUGGUCUUCCUGGAUUUCGAUAAAGGACCAUUGCAGGAAGCCAUGGAUAUUAGUUUAUAAAUGUAC